This 253-nucleotide ribosomal RNA is filed under the name uncultured bacterium. RNAcentral's name for it is "partial 16S ribosomal RNA". It matches the Rfam family "Bacterial small subunit ribosomal RNA", at positions 524 to 776 of the family's 1533-position model. The record is from RNAcentral.
CACGUAGGGGACGAGCGUUGUCCGGAUUCAUUGGGCGUAAAGCGCGCGUAGGCGGCUCGGAAAGACGGUCGUGAAAUGCCGGGGCUCAACCCCGGGACUGCGUCCGAUACUCCCGAGCUGGAGGCAGGUAGGGGAGAUCGGAAUUCCUGGUGUAGCGGUGAAAUGCGCAGAUAUCAGGAGGAACACCGGUGGCGAAGGCGGAUCUCUGGGCCGGAACUGACGCUAAGGAGCGAAAGCGUGGGGAGCGAACAGG